Molecule: long non-coding RNA, 915 nt
Organism: Lontra canadensis (Northern American river otter)
Lineage: Eukaryota; Metazoa; Chordata; Mammalia; Carnivora; Mustelidae
Exons: 2
Source: RefSeq, a predicted model, not a curated record
ACAUUCGUUUUAUUUUGUGAGGUGCUUCGGCAAGCUUCUUUUAAUCUUUACUUUUGGUCACGUUGCGAAGGAGAGUUAUUCGAAAGGUCGAAAUAACUGAGUUCGGGAGACAGUUUAUAAUCGAGAAAAUGCCGCCUCUUGAAACGGAUAUAGCAGUGGAAGCCGGAGAGAGAGUAAGAUUUGACUAUCGUAUAACACAGGAGCUUAAAGAUCUGUGUUCAGUAAUAAAGCAGCUAAUGUCAGAGCGGCUUAGAAGUAUCAGGGAGUUGAAAGAGAUAGCGGAAAUGUGCAAGCCUGAUCAGUCACAAAAUCGAAUUGCCGAAGUAAAUGCAAAACAAGAGAAACCGCAUGCAGGAAAAGAGGAAAAGUAGAAGAGAUUAGAAGCGAAAUCUACAGCAUCGGUUCAGUAGAUACACAUAAUAGGAAUACCUGAAACAGAAGACAAAGCAAAUGAAGCUGAAACAAUAAGGGACUAAUUGAAGAAAAUUUUCCAAAUUCGAAGAACAAGCUAAAUCUGCAAAUAGAAAAGGUUAAUAGAGUACCAGUAAAACAACGAAAAGAAAGCAACACCUACACAUAUCCUAUUGACGUUUUUAAAUUGGAAGGAUAAAGAAGAAAAAUUCUACGAGUAUUCAGAGAAAGCAGGUUAAACUAUAAGGGAUAAAAGUCAGACUGUCCCGAUUUUUCUCUUUCAGCUCUAAAUGCCGAAAGGCAAGGGAGCAAUAUCUCUAGUUUUAAGGGAAAAUGAUUUUGAGCCAAGAGUUCUAUAUCCUGCCAAGUUACGGUUUAUAUAUGAAGGCAACUGGAGGACGUUCCCAGAUAUGCAGGAGUUAAAAGAGUAUUUUUUCUUUAUUUGUUAAAUGCUGUUACUACAGCCCGCAAAAACAAGUAGUGAGGCAGUUGUAAGGAAAAAAA